Unclassified non-coding RNA from Macaca fascicularis (crab-eating macaque), 148 nucleotides. It matches the Rfam family "Metazoan signal recognition particle RNA". Rfam says of the family: The signal recognition particle (SRP) is a universally conserved ribonucleoprotein. It is involved in the co-translational targeting of proteins to membranes. The eukaryotic SRP consists of a 300-nucleotide 7S RNA and six proteins: SRPs 72, 68, 54, 19, 14, and 9. NCBI's taxonomy places the organism in Eukaryota, Metazoa, Chordata, Mammalia, Primates, Cercopithecidae. The record is from Ensembl.
GCCAGGCACAGUGGCUUAUGCCUGUAGUCCCAGCUACUCAGGAGGCCGAGGCGGGAGGAUUGCUGGAACCCAGGAGUUCGAGGCUGCAGUGAGUUAUGAUUGCAUCACUGCACUGCAGCCUGGGUAACAGAGCAGGAUCCUGUCUCUU